This 253-nucleotide ribosomal RNA is filed under the name uncultured bacterium. Its description in RNAcentral is "partial 16S ribosomal RNA". It matches the Rfam family "Bacterial small subunit ribosomal RNA", at positions 524 to 776 of the family's 1533-position model. The record is from RNAcentral.
UACGUAGGGGGCAAGCGUUGUCCGGAUUUAUUGGGCGUAAAGAGUGUGUAGGCGGCUAGGUAGGUCCGUUGUGAAAACUCGAGGCUCAACCUCGAGACGCCGGUGGAAACCAUCUAGCUAGAGUCCGGAAGAGGAGAGUGGAAUUCCUGGUGUAGCGGUGAAAUGCGCAGAUAUCAGGAAGAACACCCGUGGCGAAGGCGGCUCUCUGGUACGUGACUGACGCUGAGACGCGAAAGCGUGGGGAGCGAACAGG